Molecule: long non-coding RNA, 128 nt
Filed under: Mustela putorius furo (domestic ferret)
Lineage: Eukaryota; Metazoa; Chordata; Mammalia; Carnivora; Mustelidae
Description: lncRNA (ENSMPUG00000026027.1)
Source: RNAcentral
UGGUGCACUAUUUAGACAACAUGGCUUUCUCCUUGAGUAGGAGAAAGGUUGGCCACUCCUAAUGGUUGCUGGAGAGUUCUCUUCCACUAGACACUGAGGGACCCAGGUCAACUGAUGCUGUAACAUCU